RNAcentral lists this ribosomal RNA (286 nucleotides) under uncultured Syntrophus sp. Its description in RNAcentral is "partial 16S ribosomal RNA". It matches the Rfam family "Bacterial small subunit ribosomal RNA", at positions 1097 to 1382 of the family's 1533-position model. Lineage: Bacteria; Pseudomonadati; Thermodesulfobacteriota; Syntrophia; Syntrophales; Syntrophaceae. The record is from RNAcentral.
CGCAACCCUUAUUCAUUAAGUUGCUAACAUUCAGUUGAGAAACUCUAAUGAGACUGCCAGUGAUAAACUGGAGGAAGGUGGGAUGACGUCAAAUCAUCAUGCCCCUUAUGACCUGGGCUACACACGUGCUACAAUGGCCGGUACAAAGAGUUGCGAAACUGUGAAGUUAAGCUAAUCUCAUAAAGCCGGUCUCAGUUCGGAUUGUAGUCUGCAACUCGACUACAUGAAGUCGGAAUCGCUAGUAAUCGCGAAUCAGAAUGUCGCGGUGAAUACGUUCUCGAGUCUU